This 484-nucleotide ribosomal RNA is filed under the name uncultured bacterium. Its description in RNAcentral is "partial 16S ribosomal RNA". It matches the Rfam family "Bacterial small subunit ribosomal RNA", at positions 30 to 507 of the family's 1533-position model. The record is from RNAcentral.
AUUGAACGCUGGCGGCAGGCCUAACACAUGCAAGUCGAGCGGAUGAAGGGAGCUUGCUCCUGGAUUCAGCGGCGGACGGGUGAGUAAUGCCUAGGAAUCUGCCUGGUAGUGGGGGAUAACGUCCGGAAACGGGCGCUAAUACCGCAUACGUCCUGAGGGAGAAAGUGGGGGAUCUUCGGACCUCACGCUAUCAGAUGAGCCUAGGUCGGAUUAGCUAGUUGGUGGGGUAAAGGCAUACCAAGGCGACGAUCCGUAACUGGUCUGAGAGGAUGAUCAGUCACACUGGAAGUGAGACACGGUCCAGACUCCUACGGGAGGCAGCAGUGGGGAAUAUUAGACUAUGGGAGAAAGCCUGAUCCAGCCAUGCCGCGCGUGGGAAGAAGGUCUUCGGAUCGUAAAGCACUUCAAGUUGGGAGGAAGGGCAGUAAGGUAAUACCUUGCUGUGUUGACGUUACCAACAGAAUAAGCACCGGCUAACUUCGUG